Molecule: long non-coding RNA, 1077 nt
Organism: Carassius gibelio (silver crucian carp)
Lineage: Eukaryota; Metazoa; Chordata; Actinopteri; Cypriniformes; Cyprinidae
Exons: 3
Source: RefSeq, a predicted model, not a curated record
AUCCAAGAGGGGGAGCUGUUCUCUCCAGAAGGUGAACUGGCUGAAGGUGUCACUGCAGGGGAAAUCACAAGAACCUCUGCGCUUCAGGAGCGGAAAAACAUGAUCCACCACCUCACCUAGACGCACGUACCUGCACAGGACAUGAUGAACCGCCUGAGACUAAAUCCUGCAAACACAAAGGACUCACCUAUAGGGACUUCACAUAAAGUCACAAACCCUUGAAACAAAGCCCAUGGUGAUGAGGUGUACAUGUUUGAGUACCGGUUUAGAGCUGUUUGUUCUUCCUCGCCAUGAAAACCACCAUCUUCCUUGAUUUCUGGGCAUUUUCUCCUUCAUAAGUCUCUCUAUGGUGGCCUGUGAGGGACAUGCGCACAGGCGUAAUGCUCAACAACUGAAAAACUCUCAGACACCAAAGCCACUAAGAAUAAAACAAAUGCUGGGCUCUCAUGCAGGGAAAAGGAUUGAUAGAAACUAGUGCAACGAACUGAAGAAGUAAAGAAACGAGUCCUCCACACAGAGAGAUGGCCAUAGAGGGAAUGUCUUCACUGUCCACGCCGCUGUCGGCUCCCGAGCUACACAUGGACUGAGGAGACACAGUCUCACACCGGACGCUUUUCUCAUCACAACACUCUGAACCACUGAGAAAACACAAAAUAUCCUCUUUAAAUGUUGCUGAUCUAAGCCAUUCUAGGAUGUUCGACCCUAUGAAGCCUGCUGUAUCAUAUUCGAUAUGCAAACUUCUAAGCCCUCUAAAUGAUCAACGUGAUCAAAACUUUACUGCCUUCUGUUGUCUGAUUGAUAGUUUAUACUUUUUAGCAAGUUUGCUCUAAAUUCUUUACUGAUGUACGAAUAACUCUUAUAUAUUUAGCAAUAUUUCAAAAUAUUCACUUAUUGGACUGAAGCAAAAUCUUACUGAUUUACAUUACAUACUAUAAAAAUGUAAUCUUAAUAUUUGAUCAUGUAAGUAUCAGCAUCUGCACCAAGCAAAUUUUUCCUCAGUGGUGCUCAGAAUAUAGCCUAAUUUAUUUAAUUUACUCCUCAAGUAUGAGCUUCAUAUUCUUACUAUAUCAUACUAUG